Molecule: ribosomal RNA, 484 nt
Filed under: uncultured bacterium
Lineage: Bacteria
Description: partial 16S ribosomal RNA
Rfam family: Bacterial small subunit ribosomal RNA
Source: RNAcentral
GACGAACGCUGGCGGCGUGCUUAACACAUGCAAGUCGAACGGGAUCCAUGUUGUAGCAAUACUUCGGAAGAUCUAGUGGCGAACGGGUGAGGAACACGUGAGAAACCUGCCCCGAACUUCGGGAUAACAGUUGGAAACGACUGCUAAUACCGAAUACCUCUGCGAAGUGGCAUCACUUUGCAAAGAAAGAAUUUCGGUUCGGGAGGGUCUCGCGGCCUAUCAGCUAGUUGGUGGGGUAACGGCCUACCAAGGCAUCGACGGGUAGCUGGUCUGGGAGGAUGAUCAGCCACACUGGGACUGAGACACGGCCCAGACUCCUACGGGAGGCAGCAGUGGGGAAUCUUGUGCAAUGGGCGAAAGCCUGACACAGCAACGCCGCGUGCGGGAAGAAGGCCUUCGGGUCGUAAACCGCUUUCAGCAGGAACGAAAAUGACGGUACCUGCAGAAGAAGGUGCGGCCAACUACGUGCCAGCCGCCGCAGUAA